Long non-coding RNA from Ficedula albicollis (Collared flycatcher), 1004 nucleotides. RefSeq lists it as uncharacterized. NCBI's taxonomy places the organism in Eukaryota, Metazoa, Chordata, Aves, Passeriformes, Muscicapidae. The record is from RefSeq and is a predicted model, not a curated record. The transcript is spliced from 5 exons.
UCGGGGAGAGCGGAAAGGAACGCCACUCUCUCUGAGGCGGGACCCCGCUGGGGAGAUGCCAAGCCGGGGUAUCCGCUGGAAAUCUUCCGUUCGGGGCCAAUACUGCCGAGGAACUGUGCAAGGCUGUGUCGUCGUGGAUGACCGAGACAUGUUACACGUAUUUAUGAUACAUCUCUGAAGCGGCUUCUUUUGUCUCUUAAAGCUUUACCCUGCGUCAUGCAAAGAUAUUCAUUGGCUUAAAAAAAAUAGAAUCUCGGUCUUCCUUCCUUACUGCAUGUUAAGAACCCCAAAGCUGUGCUCAUGGAGAAAGAAAGUAACAACACUGCUCUAGAAAGAAGAAACUCUCAGGUGUAAUCAACUGAAAUAAACUACCAGCAAAACACAGAGAGGAAGAUAACUAAGCCAUCAAUGAAACUGCCCAAGAGAAAAAGGCUCUUGAGUAGUGGAGGAUAACUGAGUUUGUGAGGUUACAGUGCUCUUCUGCAGGAACAGAAGCUCCUUAGGGGCAGAGUUAAGCUGAGGUGGAAACUGCUCCAGCUGCCUUAUUUCUGAGUCAUCCCUGACAGAACAAAGCUCCUUCCCUCCUGCUCUACAAAGAUACCCACUGUUCCUCAUGUCAGGUUGAUGUUUAUUGCAUUAGAAACAUUCCACCGUGUAAGAGGAUCACAGACCAGCUGAGGCAGGAAGGCACCUGUGAAGAUCUUCUGGUCCAAAUAUCUGCUCAAAGACAAGUCUGUGAGAGCAGGUUGCUCAGAACAGCGUCCAUUUGAUUUUGAGUGUCUUCAAGGCUGGAGCAGAGUGGAAGGAUCAGCUCUCUCAAACUGCAGAUAAUGCUCUUCCUAAUGCAGGACAAGAUAAUAUUGGCCUUCUUUCUACAAUGACACAUUGCUGGCUUGUAAUUUAAAUUUUUCAAUUUAAAAUGCUCCCUCUUAUUUCUAAAUCGUUGUAUUGUUUCUGUCCCAGUCUUCCUCAAUAGGUAUAUACAUCUUCCAUUAAUCCCCUAA